GGCGAGAUAGCUCAGUUGGUAGAGCGCAGGACUGAAAAUCCUGGCGUCGGGGGUUCAAAUCCCUCUCUCGCCACCA
RNAcentral lists this transfer RNA (76 nucleotides) under Actinomycetes bacterium. RNAcentral's name for it is "Actinobacteria bacterium tRNA-Phe". It matches the Rfam family "tRNA". From Rfam's summary of the family: Transfer RNA (tRNA) molecules are approximately 80 nucleotides in length. Their secondary structure includes four short double-helical elements and three loops (D, anti-codon, and T loops). The record is from RNAcentral. RNAcentral also lists the same sequence under 3 other names. Lineage: Bacteria; Bacillati; Actinomycetota; Actinomycetes.